Molecule: ribosomal RNA, 491 nt
Filed under: uncultured bacterium
Lineage: Bacteria
Description: partial 16S ribosomal RNA
Rfam family: Bacterial small subunit ribosomal RNA
Source: RNAcentral
GAUGAACGCUAGCUACAGGCUUAACACAUGCAAGUCGAGGGGAAACGAUGAGAGAGCUUGCUCUCUUAGUCGUCGACCGGCGCACGGGUGAGUAACGCGUAUCCAACCUGCCUCUGACCAAGGGAUAACCCGUCGAAAGUCGGACUAAUACCUUAUGCAGUCGUCGGAAGUCAUCUGAUGACGACGAAAGAUUUCAUCGGUGAGAGAUGGGGAUGCGUCUGAUUAGCUUGUUGGCGGGGUAACGGCCCACCAAGGCGACGAUCAGUAGGGGUUCUGAGAGGAAGGUCCCCCACAUUGGAACUGGGACACGGUCCAAACUCCUACGGGAGGCAGCAGUGAGGAAUAUUGGUCAAUGGGCGUAAGCCUGAACCAGCCAAGUAGCGUGCAGGAUGACGGCCCUAUGGGUUGUAAACUGCUUUUAGGCGGGGAUAAAGUGAGGGACGUGUCCUUCAUUGCAGGUACCGCAUGAAUAAGGACCGGCUAAUUCCGUG